Molecule: ribosomal RNA, 429 nt
Filed under: Chloroflexota bacterium
Lineage: Bacteria; Bacillati; Chloroflexota
Description: Chloroflexi bacterium partial 16S ribosomal RNA
Rfam family: Bacterial small subunit ribosomal RNA
Source: RNAcentral
UGGGGAAUAUUGCACAAUGGGCGCAAGCCUGAUGCAGCCAUGCCGCGUGUGUGAAGAAGGCCUUCGGGUUGUAAAGCACUUUCAGCGGGGAGGAAGGCGGUGAGGUUAAUAACCUCAUCGAUUGACGUUACCCGCAGAAGAAGCACCGGCUAACUCCGUGCCAGCAGCCGCGGUAAUACGGAGGGUGCAAGCGUUAAUCGGAAUUACUGGGCGUAAAGCGCACGCAGGCGGUCUGUCAAGUCGGAAGUGAAAUCCCCGGGCUCAACCUGGGAACUGCAUUCGAAACUGGCAGGCUAGAGUCUUGUAGAGGGGGGUAGAAUUCCAGGUGUAGCGGUGAAAUGCGUAGAGAUCUGGAGGAAUACCGGUGGCGAAGGCGGCCCCCUGGACAAAGACUGACGCUCAGGUGCGAAAGCGUGGGGAGCAAACAGG